This is a non-coding RNA of Salmo salar (Atlantic salmon), 54 nucleotides long. The record is from Rfam. NCBI's taxonomy places the organism in Eukaryota, Metazoa, Chordata, Actinopteri, Salmoniformes, Salmonidae.
UGCAUUCACUACUGUAAAUCGCUCUGGAUAAGAGCUUCUGCUAAAUGACUAAAA